UGAUAGUAUCCUAUAUAUGCCAUUAGACGGAAGACUUGGUUCAAGACACUGAUGAAGGGCGUGGCAAGCUACGAAAUGCUCCGGCGAGGUGCAAGCAGCCUUUGAACCGGAGAUCCCCGAAUGAGACAUCUCAUUAAACCCGAGAGGGUGAGGAACCUGGGGAACUGAAGCGUCUCAGUACCCAGAGGAAAAGAAAUCAAUUGAGAUUCCGUUAUUAUCAGCGAGAGAAAACGGAACAGGGCAAACUGAAUCCUUUAUAGAAAUAUAAUGGAGAUGUGGUGUUAUAAGACUCAUAUAUCGACCUAAUCCGAUGAAUUUAAAGUCUCCUGGAAAGGAGUGCCAAAGAGGGUGAUAGCCCCGUAGAACUAAUUGGAAGGCGUGUGAGUAUCUUGAGUAGUGUACAUUGGAAAUUGUGCACGAAUUUGGGAGGCAUCAACUUCCAACCCUAAAUAUGUCUUGAGUCCGAUAGCGUACUAGUACCGUGAGGGAAAGUUGAAAAGAACCCGUGAUAGGGAGUUAAAAGAGUCGGAAAUCUAAUGGUUACAGAAAGGUGCGGCUUCAAGGAGUUGCACCGUGCGUUUCGAAUAAUGCGCCAGGGAGUUUAUCUUAGUGGCAAGAGUAAGUCUUUACUGGACGUACUCGAAGGGAAACCAAUUUCUCGCAGCUUGCAAGGAGAGAGGUAUGAAAAUGCCUUAAGUCACUAGGGUAAUACCCGAAACCGGGCGAUCUAGUCGUGAGCAAGGUGAAGCCGUUCGAAUGAUCGGUGGAGGCCUGAAGAGGUGCUAUGUGCAUAUGUUCUUAUGACUUGUGACUAGGGGUGAAAGGCCAAUCGAGCCCGGUAAUAGCUGGUUCCUACCGAAAUAGGCCUAAGUCUAGUCUCAGAGGAGAUCGUUGAAGGGGUAGAGCUACGGAUUUGAAGGCCUGGGGGAGAAAUUCCUCACCUUCUUGUCCAACUCCAAAUAUUUCAACAUCGUAGAUACUGGGAAACGGGGCUACUGGGGUAAGCUUGUAGUCCUAAAGGGGAACAACCCAAACUAUAGUUAAGGUCCCUAAAUAUCAAUUAAGUGUGAACGGGUGAAAGGUGUUCAUCACCAAAGACAGCGGGGAGGUUGGCUUAGAAGCAGCCAUCCUUUAAAGAAAGCGUAACAGCUCACCCGUCAAGGUCAUGUGCCCUGAAAAUGGACGGGACUAAAUUGAUUACCGAUACUAUAGCCCACCUUACUUGAGUUUGGUGUGGGGUAGGUAGGUGUGCCGUUAGGGAAGAAACCAAUUCGUGAGGAUUGGAGGACCUGAUGGUAUUAAAAAUCCUGGUAGUAGUAGGAUCUAUCUAGAGUGAGAAUCUCUAGGACCGAAAGGGCGAGGGUUUCUCAGCAAUGUAGAUCAGCUGAGAGUAAGUUAGUCCUAACUGUACCCCUAAUCGGGCGUAUGGGAAAGGGAAAAUGGUUAAUAUUCCAUUACUACUUAAGUACGUGCGGCAACGCAAGAUUUUUUUCUGACGCUUCCGAAUAGACUAAUAGCUACCAUCGUGGUUAUCAAAUAAAACAAGUCAUUGGAGUACCGUAAUGGUGAGAAGAUGAGUAAAUUUAUAAUGAGCAGGCCUAGUGUUUGUUUAGUCAUUAUCUGGAGCCCGUGAAAAGGGAAAAAAUAAGGAUCUUAAGUAUCUAUACCUAGAACCGGCACUGGUGUCCCAGGGUGAGAAGCCCAAGGUCUGAGGGAUUAAUCUAGUUUAGGGAAUUCGACAGAAUAGCCCCGUGCCUUCGGUAUAAGGGGUCCCUGCGAUUGUCUUCGUAUGAGGGCGAUUACAGGGUGCAAUGACUAGGGAGGUCCGACUGUUUAACAAAAACAUAACGAACUGCUAGCCAGUAAUGGUUUGUAUAGUUCGUGACGUCUGCCCAGUGCUAGUACUUCAAACUCCAUUCCAAUGGAGCUAAGAGCUAGUAAACGGCGGGAAUAACUAUAAUUCUCUUAAGGUAGCGAAAUGCCUUGUCGUUUAAUUGACGACCUGCAUGAAGGGCGUAACGAGAUCUCUAUUGUCCCAAACUAGAUCCCCCCGAACAUAACCUUCUGGUGCAAAGUCCAGAGACUCCCAGUGGGAAGCGAAGACCCCAUGGAACUUUACUGUAGCUUAUUGUUGCGGUGUGAGACUCAUUGUGCAGUGUAGGUGGGAAUCGUUAAAGCGUAGUCGCCAGAUUGCGUGUAGAUACCAAUGAGACACCACCCUUUGAGUUUUACAUUGCUCACUUCUUUCGAGAAAGACAGCAGUUGGUAGACAGUUUGGCUGGGGCGGCACCCAGAUGAAAAGGUAUCAUUUGGGCCCAAAGGUAAGCUCAUCAGGUUCAGAAAUCCUGAGUAGAGUGCAAGAGCAAAAGCUUGCCUGACUGUGUUCUGAACAGUAAGGAACGCAGCAUCGAAAGAUUGGUCUAGCGAACCCCUGUGUCCCAAUUGAUGGGGGCCAGGUAUGACAGAAAAGCUAUCCUGGGGAUAACUGAGUUGUCGCGCCUAAGAGCUCAAAUCGACGGCGCGGUUUGCUACUUCGUUGUCGGCUCAUCGCAUCCUGGAUGUGCAGAAGCAUCCAAGGGUGGAGGUGUUCACUCAUUAAAGCGGUUCGUGAGCUGGGUUAAGAACGUUGCGAGACAGUUUGUAUGAUAUCUACUGGGAGUGUUCAAGGUCUGAGAGGAAGGAGCAUUUAGUACGAGAGGAACGGUGCCUCGACGCCUCUGGUGUAUCGGUUAUCUGAUAAGGUAGGCCGAGCAGCUACGCGUUACAUCAUAAGUGCUGAAAGCAUCUAAGCACGAAGGAUACCUCGAAAAGAGACCUAGAACGCCUGCAAAACACAGGUUUGAUGGGACUGGAGUGUAAGUACCAAGCUUCGGCGAGGUAUUCAGCUCGCAGUUUCCAAAGUUCGUAAAAUAUUAUCU
Molecule: ribosomal RNA, 2918 nt
Filed under: Nanobdellota archaeon
Lineage: Archaea; Nanobdellati; Nanobdellota
Description: 23S ribosomal RNA
Rfam family: Archaeal large subunit ribosomal RNA
Source: RNAcentral